CGAAGAGGUUUGAAGGUGGUCCCACCUGACCCCAUGCCGAACUCAGAAGUGAAACGCCGUAGCGCCGAUGGUAGUGUGGGGUCUCCCCAUGCGAGAGUAGGGAACUGCCAGGC
Molecule: ribosomal RNA, 113 nt
Filed under: Escherichia coli
Lineage: Bacteria; Pseudomonadati; Pseudomonadota; Gammaproteobacteria; Enterobacterales; Enterobacteriaceae
Source: RNAcentral